AUUGAACGCUGGCGGCAGGCCUAACACAUGCAAGUCGAGCGGAUGAAGGGAGCUUGCUCCUGGAUUCAGCGGCGGACGGGUGAGUAAUGCCUAGGAAUCUGCCUGGUAGUGGGGGAUAACGUCCGGAAACGGGCGCUAAUACCGCAUACGUCCUGAGGGAGAAAGUGGGGGAUUUUCGGACCUCACGCUAUCAGAUGAGCCUAGGUCGGAUUAGCUAGUUGGUGGGGUAAAGGCCUACCAAGGCGACGAUCCGUAACUGGUCUGAGAGGAUGAUCAGUCACACUGGAACUGAGACACGGUCCAGACUCCUACGGGAGGCAGCAGUGGGGAAUAUUGGACAAUGGGCGAAAGCCUGAUCCAGCCAUGCCGCGUGUGUGAAGAAGGUCUUCGGAUUGUAAAGCACUUUAAGUUGGGGGGAAGGGCAGUAAGUUAAUACCUUGCUGUUUUGACGUUACCAACAGAAUAAGCACCGGCUAACUUCGUG
Molecule: ribosomal RNA, 484 nt
Filed under: uncultured bacterium
Lineage: Bacteria
Description: partial 16S ribosomal RNA
Rfam family: Bacterial small subunit ribosomal RNA
Source: RNAcentral